Long non-coding RNA from Gavialis gangeticus (Gharial), 3957 nucleotides. RefSeq lists it as uncharacterized. The record is from RefSeq and is a predicted model, not a curated record. The transcript is spliced from 3 exons. NCBI's taxonomy places the organism in Eukaryota, Metazoa, Chordata, Crocodylia, Gavialidae.
GGUCUUCUGUGACCCAGUGAAACAUUAAAAGAACUUGGUAAGUACGUAUAAUCACAAGGUUGAGAACCACUGGGUGACUUUGCAUGUCAGAUUUUGUCCUCUAAAGAGAAAUACCUUGAUCUGGCUUCAACAAGGCUGCAUUGUUUGCAGUCUGACGUAGAACACUUUGUGCAGGAGACUUGACAUAAGUAAACUGUAGUGAGGUGCCUUUACCUUUUCACUCUGAUAACUAGAGCGGUCGUGUGAUGCUGGAAGAUAAGUGCUGAUCCCCCCCAGUCUUUUUCCUGCAUGUAAAUUUGGAGGACUUCUACAUUACCCAUGCUGAUUCCUCCAAGUCUCUGCAACUUCCAUUUACAAUAUCAUCAUCUUUGAAUGCAUGACCCAUAAAAAAUAAAACACGCUGGUUCUCAUGAGGUCAUCUCAGAGCAACUCUGAACCACAGGCAUUGGUCUGGAAGAAUAUUUGGGGGACAAUUAUUUCGGGAGGCAAAAAAAAAAAAAAAGAAAGCCCCUCCAGUGUUGUUUCCUGCAAAGACUAUUCUUAAGAGCCCGUUGGACAGCGCGGGGCUCUUGAAGUGAUAGCUAAUUGGCGAAAGAAAGGCCCUGAUUGUCUUGAGGGAGCUGGAAAGUGCUGCGUGUGCUGCUGAAAGGGACUAGGGAGAAGGUGCCCGGUUUCGCUGAGCAGCUGCUGCUGGAGAUGUUUGGAGAUUACAUCAGCAUUGGAAAAAAGGGGCAAAAAAAAAAAAAAGGCCCCAACUUCACAGAGACGGAGUUUAUGGAGUUUUUUUUCCCUUCCAAAGGUCUUCUGACAAUACUGUCAUUGUCAAUAUAAGAGUUGUUAAUUCUUUAUGAAUAGCACAUGGGGCCUCUUGACUAAAUAGUACGUUACAUGUCCCAAAUCUGUCAGCUGGACUCUUCUCUCACAUGCUAGUGAGAUCACUUUGAUUGGAAUGUUACAGGAAUUGCUGGACUGGCCACACAGUGCUGAAUACUGCAUUAUAUAAUUAGAUCUCCCAGGGUAUUUUUUCACAUUACCUCAUUAUUCUUGCUUAAAUAUGGAAUCGGGCCUUUUGAUGAUUUUACUGGUCAUAAUUAUAUUAAUACGAUUCAUUUUAUGGUCUUGUCUCAGCGUUUAUAUAGAUUAUAAACUGUCCCGAAGAUUUCCUGACAAGACAAAAGAGGAGUAAGAUCUUUCAAAGGGCUUGCGUACAUUUUAACUGACAAGGGGUGAGGCCUGGACAAUGUCAUGGAACAGGGGCACGGUUUACCUUUAGGACCAGAGAUGACCAGAAUGACCUUGCUUAGGCAAGAGCCCUGUGAGCAUUCUGCAGGAGGUCUCACAUUUACAGAAGGAAAAACUACAACUGAUCGAGUCAAAUGACUUAUCGAAGUAGGGCAAAGUAGUUGCGUCUGGAACAUGCUUGUCAAUUAAAUGAUCUGGACAGGCUGGAAGAAAUCCUAUUGUUGGGAAAGCCCAGGACAGCCGAAGCCCUGGUCUUGAUAAGUGAAAUGUGACAGCUUACUGCUUGCUGGACAGACUACUGAUCUGCAUUUAAAAAUGCCAGCUGCAGAGGCCGCCUGUGUGCAACAACUGACCAGUGUCCACUUAACUAUGAAGAUGAGUUUCCAGGCUCAGCUGUACUUGUAUGCUACCAAACAACAGAAGGAAUUGUUUUACCUGCCUGGCUCCUUCAUGGAUAAAUUCCCCUUGUAGCUUCUUCCAUUGACUUAUGCCUGAACCUGGCUGAAUGAAUAUAUUAAUUAACUCUAUUAUUCAAUGAAUGUUUAUAUGAAUAUUAGGAAUAGCUAGCUGACUGCUACCAGCACAGUAGUCACUGGAAUAAGUUGUUCCAUGAAAACCAGCACUAUGCAUCAAUCGGCUGGUAUAGCAGGAAGAAAGGGAUCACAUAGCUAUAAUGCAACUUGGCAUACAAGCAGGAUAGCCCAUCAUGGUGAUAAUGGGGAUCAAGAGGUAUUCAGUUACUUACACAAGGCCACAAAGGUAAAUCAAUAAAGCAGCCAGGUUUGAAUCCAGAAUUUUUCUAGUUCUCAGCUUUAUGUUUGACCCCAUAUAUGAACUGGGAGAGGAGCAACCAGUUUUUAUUUUUGACCUCCAAGUGGAUGUUGCAUUGCAUAAACUAUUUAGAAUUUGAAGGGCAAAAGUAGUGCUUCUACAUGUGGCACAAUUUAACUUAAAUCGGGGGGAGCUGAACCCAUGGCUGGCAGGCCAUUUUCAGCCCACCAAGUCAUGUCAUUUGGCCUGAAGGGCUGCCCAGGGGUUUGAAAAUUUGGUGGUGGGGGAAUGGUGGCAGUGUUAAUUGCUGCUCCCCAGCUAUCAAAUUUCUGGACCCAGGGUGAGCCUUGUGUGUGGAUAGUGUGUGGGGCCCAGUGUGCUAAGUCAGGGGUAUGCUAAGCUGGGGUGGUGCAGGGCCCAGUCCUGGCAUGCAAGGCUGGCAUGGCAUAGGACCUGAUCCAGGCAGCAGGAGGCAGGAUCCAGGUGUGCAGGGACUAACUUGGUCAGUCUGAGGUGGGAUCUGGUGCACGGGGGUCAACUCCAUGCAGCAACCUGCAUGGGAUCUAGCUCUAUCCCAUUCAUCUGGCUCAAAGGGCUGAAAGGCUGAGCACUGUUGAUUUUAAAUCAAUUACUUAAAGUAAAAUUAGGUUUACCUUUUUUUGCAGUCUAAAGAUCAAAAUUGAAAUUCAAUAUCCUUGGCCCAAGACACCUUAAGAAAAAUUCCAGACUUAGUUCUUCAUUUUUUGUCAUAAAUAAAAAUGAACACUACUACUUCUUAGAAUGACUUCCAGAUCUCUUGAUAGCUCACAUGAUGAUAUCAGAAUUCAGUCUAGCUAAAACCUUGGCACACCCAUAGAGAGCAUCUCACCCUCUUGUGACUCUUGCACACUGCCAAAGCCUGGCUCAUCAUCAGCGACUACAAACAAGCCCCUAUCAUUUGUCUUCUGAGACCUCCUAAAAUCCACAGUUGGGAAGCAGUACAAUAUCUAUGUCAUGACUUUUUUCCUCUUCAAUGGAAUGUGAAGGGUAAAUGUGAGAACAAUUGAUCUCAGCCUCACACUGACAAAUCUGAGGAAAAGUCUAUGGUAUCUACAGACACUUUUGUCAACUGGAAAUCCUGCCGGUUAAUUGGAAAUUAACUAGGAAAUUCUAUACCUUUCCAAGUGCCCAUGCCAAUUUCUGUGCUUCCAGAGGAAACUGAUUGCCUUACCGUAAAGAGAAAGGUGAAAAUGGACUAUCCAUAAUAUGCUGAUAUGUACACAAAGUAGGCAAGCUGAAAAAAUAGAUGAAUCUUUUACCUUUUGUGAUCUCAGGUGUUAGCUAUAAGAAAAGCAAGCAAAGAUCAUUUACACCGAAGUUUGUUUUAAUUUGAGGAUGUUCUUUUUUAAAAAUAUGUUUAUAUAUUGCAAUUAAUAUGUUUAAUUGAUCUUUUAGGCCUCUUGUUGCAUACAUUUUAGAAUUCUGUACUUCAAUGAAUUAAAAUAUGGAUUUGAUGAGAAAUUUUAGUAAGGAGGUUUCAGAUAAUGUCUCUUAUUUGUUCAUAUGGGGAAAGCUAGCAUGUGGGACUGGCAUUAAGGGUCAGAUUCUGGUACCCUUAAUCCUAUUGAAUACCAUCAUACUCUGCAAGUUACUAUAUAUUUACAUAAGUAAGAGUAUACCAGUCCGGUUACAGACUUUAUCCUAAUUCAGGCGAUAUUAUCAUUGAUCUCUGUAGAACAGUGUAUUUGCAUGGGUUAACUGCAUGAAGUCAAAAGAAUGCUACAAUGGAUGAGUGACCACAAUCAUUCUCUUUAACAGCUUCUGAGGAAAGAGAAGAAUUGUGGAUGAACUUGUUGACUGGAGUGUAACCAAUUGUCUGUAGUAGUAGUGGUUUGGCUCUCUUGGUGCUUCUGUGUUAAGUUUUGUUUGUGGUUUGCAUGGGAGAGAUUAAUUUCACCAUAACUG